RNAcentral lists this non-coding RNA (177 nucleotides) under uncultured Oceanisphaera sp. RNAcentral's name for it is "6S / SsrS RNA". It matches the Rfam family "6S / SsrS RNA". Rfam says of the family: E. coli 6S RNA was the first non coding RNA to be sequenced, but its function was unknown until recently. It consists of 184 nucleotides that fold into an extended hairpin structure with a large single-stranded internal bulge. The record is from RNAcentral. Lineage: Bacteria; Pseudomonadati; Pseudomonadota; Gammaproteobacteria; Aeromonadales; Aeromonadaceae.
UUCCCUGGGGUGUUCGUCUGUUGAUGACGUCCCUGAGCCGAUAUCAAUAGCAAAGGAAAGCCGUGUUACUUACUAUUGCGCAAGCUUGGUUCGACCGAGAAGCCUACGGUAGGUACCGGAUUUCCGCCUUGAGCCGACGGGUUCAAGGACCAACAUCAGCGACGGCAUCCUGGGGAU